This 254-nucleotide ribosomal RNA is filed under the name uncultured bacterium. RNAcentral's name for it is "partial 16S ribosomal RNA". It matches the Rfam family "Bacterial small subunit ribosomal RNA", at positions 524 to 776 of the family's 1533-position model. The record is from RNAcentral.
UACGUAGGGUGCGAGCGUUGUCCGGAAUCAUUGGGCGUAAAGCGCGCGUAGGUGGCCAUGUAAGUCCGCUGUGAAAGUCAAAGGCUCAACCUUUGAAAGCCGGUGGAUACUGGAUGGCUAGAGUACGGAAGAGGCGAGUGGAAUUCCUGGUGUAGCGGUGGAAAUGCGCAGAUAUCAGGAGGAACACCAAUAGCGAAGGCAGCUCGCUGGGACGGUACUGACGCUGAGACGCGAAAGCGUGGGGAGCAAACAGG